This 514-nucleotide ribosomal RNA is filed under the name uncultured bacterium. RNAcentral's name for it is "bacterial SSU rRNA". It matches the Rfam family "Bacterial small subunit ribosomal RNA", at positions 8 to 518 of the family's 1533-position model. The record is from RNAcentral.
AGAGUUGAUCAUGGCGUCAGGAUGAACGCUAGCGGCAGGCUAACACAUGCAAGUCGAGGGGCAACGCGAGUAGCAAUACUUGGCGGCGACCGGCGCAAGGGUGCGUAACGCGUGAGCAACAUGCCCGUAUCAGGGGGAUAAUCCAGGGAAACUUGGUCUAAUACCCCAUAGUAAUUUUGUAAGGCAUCUUAUAAGAUUUAAAGCUUUGGUGGAUACGGAUUGGCUCGCGUGACAUUAGCUGGAUGGUAAGGUAACGGCUUACCAUGGCUAUGAUGUCUAGGGGUUCUGAGAGGAAGGUCCCCCACACUGGAACUGAGACACGGUCCAGACUCCUACGGGAGGCAGCAGUGAGGAAUAUUGGACAAUGGAUGGAAAUCUGAUCCAGCCAUGCCGCGUGAAGGAAGAAGGUCCUAUGGAUUGUAAACUUCUUUUGUAUGGGAGCAAUAAGGCCUACGAGUAGGUUGAUGAGAGUACCAUACGAAUAAGCACCGGCUAACUCCGUGCCAGCCGCCGC